AGGGUUUGAUUCUGGCUCAGGAUGAACGCUAGCUACAGGCUUAACACAUGCAAGUCGAGGGGCAGCGGGAUUGAAGCUUGCUUCAAUUGCCGGCGACCGGCGCACGGGUGAGUAACGCGUAUCCAACCUUCCGUACACUCAGGGAUAGCCUUUCGAAAGAAAGGUUAAUACCUGAUGGUAUCUUAAGCACACAUGUAAUUAAGAUUAAAGAUUUAUCGGUGUACGAUGGGGAUGCGUUCCAUUAGGUAGUAGGCGGGGUAACGGCCCACCUAGCCAACGAUGGAUAGGGGUUCUGAGAGGAAGGUCCCCCACAUUGGAACUGAGACACGGUCCAA
RNAcentral lists this ribosomal RNA (335 nucleotides) under uncultured bacterium. Its description in RNAcentral is "bacterial SSU rRNA". It matches the Rfam family "Bacterial small subunit ribosomal RNA", at positions 8 to 334 of the family's 1533-position model. The record is from RNAcentral.